This is a non-coding RNA of Phlebotomus papatasi, 74 nucleotides long. NCBI's taxonomy places the organism in Eukaryota, Metazoa, Arthropoda, Insecta, Diptera, Psychodidae. The record is from Rfam.
GUCCUCAUAGCUCAGUUGGUAGAGCAUUCGCCUAGAUUGCGAAAGGCCCCCAGUUCAAGCCUUGGGUGGAGGCA